UACGGAAGGCAGCAGUAGGGAAUCUUCCGCAAUGGACGAAAGUCUGACGGAGCAACGCCGCGUGAACGAUGAAGGCUUUCGGGUCGUAAAGUUCUGUUGUUAGGGAAGAACAAGUACCGGAGUAACUGCCGGUACCUUGACGGUACCUAACCAGAAAGCCACGGCUAACUACGUGCCAGCAGCCGCGGUAAUACGUAGGUGGCAAGCGUUGUCCGGAAUUAUUGGGCGUAAAGCGCGCGCAGGCGGUCCUUUAAGUCUGAUGUGAAAGCCCACGGCUCAACCGUGGAGGGUCAUUGGAAACUGGGGGACUUGAGUGCAGAAGAGGAGAGUGGAAUUUUCACGUGUAGCGGUGAAAUGCGUAGAGAUGUGGAGGAACACCAGUGGCGAAGGCGACUCUCUGGUCUGUAACUGACGCUGAGGCGCGAAAGCGUGGGGAGCGAACAGGGAUUAGAUACC
RNAcentral lists this ribosomal RNA (456 nucleotides) under uncultured bacterium. Its description in RNAcentral is "bacterial SSU rRNA". It matches the Rfam family "Bacterial small subunit ribosomal RNA", at positions 340 to 786 of the family's 1533-position model. The record is from RNAcentral.